UGUCAAUAAGGCGAGUGACGUCAACCCG
This 28-nucleotide non-coding RNA is filed under the name Bombyx mori (domestic silkworm). Lineage: Eukaryota; Metazoa; Arthropoda; Insecta; Lepidoptera; Bombycidae. The record is from RNAcentral.